RNAcentral lists this ribosomal RNA (386 nucleotides) under uncultured bacterium. RNAcentral's name for it is "bacterial SSU rRNA". It matches the Rfam family "Bacterial small subunit ribosomal RNA", at positions 30 to 416 of the family's 1533-position model. The record is from RNAcentral.
AUUGAACGCUGGCGGCAUGCCUUACACAUGCAAGUCGAACGGCAGCACGGACUUCGGUCUGGUGGCGAGUGGCGAACGGGUGAGUAAUGUAUCGGAACGUACCUUUCAGUGGGGGAUAACGUAGCGAAAGUUACGCUAAUACCGCAUAUUCUGUGAGCAGGAAAGCAGGGGAUCGCAAGACCUUGCGCCGAUUGAGCGGCCGAUAUCAGAUUAGCUAGUUGGUGAGGUAAAGGCUCACCAAGGCGACGAUCUGUAGCGGGUCUGAGAGGAUGAUCCGCCACACUGGAACUGAGACACGGUCCAGACUCCUACGGGAGGCAGCAGUGGGGAAUUUUGGACAAUGGGGGCAACCCUGAUCCAGCCAUGCCGCGUGAGUGAAGAAGGCC